This 559-nucleotide ribosomal RNA is filed under the name uncultured fungus. RNAcentral describes it as "eukaryotic LSU rRNA". The stretch from base 199 to 352 matches the Rfam family "5.8S ribosomal RNA". The record is from RNAcentral. Lineage: Eukaryota; Fungi.
AAGUCGUAACAAGGUCUCCGUUGGUGAACCAGCGGAGGGAUCAUUACCGAGUUUACAACUCCCAAACCCCUGUGAACAUACCUUAAUGUUGCCUCGGCGGAUCAGCCCGCGCCCCGUAAAACGGGACGGCCCGCCAGAGGGACCCAAACUCUAAUGUUUCUUAUUGUAACUUCUGAGUAAAACAAACAAAUAAAUCAAAACUUUCAACAACGGAUCUCUUGGUUCUGGCAUCGAUGAAGAACGCAGCAAAAUGCGAUAAGUAAUGUGAAUUGCAGAAUUCAGUGAAUCAUCGAAUCUUUGAACGCACAUUGCGCCCGCUGGUAUUCCGGCGGGCAUGCCUGUUCGAGCGUCAUUUCAACCCUCAAGCCCCCGGGUUUGGUGUUGGGGAUCGGCUCUGCCCUUCUGGGCGGUGCCGCCCCCGAAAUACAUUGGCGGUCUCGCUGCAGCCUCCAUUGCGUAGUAGCUAACACCUCGCAACUGGAACGCGGCGCGGCCAUGCCGUAAAACCCCAACUUCUGAAUGUUGACCUCGGAUCAGGUAGGAAUACCCGCUGAACUUA